AGUGAACGCUGGCGGUAGGCCUAACACAUGCAAGUCGAACGGCAGCACAGUAAGAGCUUGCUCUUACGGGUGGCGAGUGGCGGACGGGUGAGGAAUACAUCGGAAUCUACUUUUUCGUGGGGGAUAACGUAGGGAAACUUACGCUAAUACCGCAUACGACCUACGGGUGAAAGCAGGGGAUCUUCGGACCUUGCGCGAUUGAAUGGGCCGAUGUCGGAUUAGCUAGUUGGCGGGGUAAAGGCCCACCAAGGCUACGAUCCGUAGCUGGUCUGAGAGGAUGAUCAGCCACACUGGAACUGAGACACGGUCCAGACUCCUACGGGAGGCAGCAGUGGGGAAUAUUGGACAAUGGGCGCAAGCCUGAUCCAGCCAUGCCGCGUGGGUGAAGAAGGCCUUCGGGUUGUAAAGCCCUUUUGUUAGGAAAGAAAAGCAGCAGGUUAAUACCCCGCGGUUCUGACGGUACCCAAAGAAUAAGCACCGGCUAACUUCGUG
RNAcentral lists this ribosomal RNA (492 nucleotides) under uncultured bacterium. RNAcentral describes it as "partial 16S ribosomal RNA". It matches the Rfam family "Bacterial small subunit ribosomal RNA", at positions 29 to 507 of the family's 1533-position model. The record is from RNAcentral.